RNAcentral lists this ribosomal RNA (100 nucleotides) under uncultured Ruminococcus sp. The record is from RNAcentral. Lineage: Bacteria; Bacillati; Bacillota; Clostridia; Eubacteriales; Oscillospiraceae.
ACGAGGAGGACCCACCUGUACCCAUUCCGAACACGGAAGUUAAGCUCCUUAGUGCCGAAGAUACUUGGUUGGUGACGACCCGGGAAAAUAGGUCUGUGCC